GAACGCUAGCGGCAGGCUUAACACAUGCAAGUCGAGGGGCAGCGAGAGAGUAGCAAUACUUUUGUCGGCGACCGGCGGACGGGUGCGUAACGCGUAUGCAACCUACCUUAUACAGGGGGGAUAACCUUUUCGAAAGGGAGACUAAUACCGCAUAACAUUACUUUGAGGCAUCUUGAGGUAAUUAAAUCUUCGGAGGUAUAAGAUGGGCAUGCGUAGCAUUAGCUAGAUGGUGCGGUAACGGCGUACCAUGGCGACGAUGCUUAGGGGUUCUGAGAGGAAGGUCCCCCCACACUGGUACUGAGAUACGGACCAGACUCCUACGGGAGGCAGCAGUGAGGAAUAUUGGUCAAUGGUCGGAAGACUGAACCAGCCAUGCCGCGUGCAGGAAGAAUGUCUUAUGGAUUGUAAACUGCUUUUGUAUGGGGCUAAUAAUAACUUUGCGAAGUUAGAUGCAGGUACCAUACGAAUAAGGAUCGGCUAACUCCGUG
RNAcentral lists this ribosomal RNA (488 nucleotides) under uncultured bacterium. RNAcentral's name for it is "bacterial SSU rRNA". It matches the Rfam family "Bacterial small subunit ribosomal RNA", at positions 31 to 507 of the family's 1533-position model. The record is from RNAcentral.